Molecule: ribosomal RNA, 192 nt
Filed under: Streptococcus sp. IMAU 99161
Lineage: Bacteria; Bacillati; Bacillota; Bacilli; Lactobacillales; Streptococcaceae
Description: partial 16S ribosomal RNA
Rfam family: Bacterial small subunit ribosomal RNA
Source: RNAcentral
GAACGGGUGAGUAACGCGUAGGUAACCUGCCUCUUAGCGGGGGAUAACUAUUGGAAACGAUAGCUAAUACCGCAUAAAAGUCGACAUUGCAUGAUGUUGACUUGAAAGGUGCAAAUGCAUCACUAAGAGAUGGACCUGCGUUGUAUUAGCUAGUUGGUGAGGUAACGGCUCACCAAGGCGACGAUACAUAGC